Molecule: transfer RNA, 64 nt
Filed under: Bipes biporus
Lineage: Eukaryota; Metazoa; Chordata; Lepidosauria; Squamata; Bipedidae
Description: tRNA-Pro
Source: RNAcentral
UCAAAGAGAAGAAAAACAUCUCAUCCCUCCCCCCAAGCGAGGGAUUAACUUAAAUUACUCCUUA